GUCUUUUUGUUUUUAUAUAAAGUCUAGUCUGCUCUAUGAUAUUUAAAUGGCCGCAGUAUUUUAACUGUGCAAAGGUAGCAUGAUAAUUUGCUUCUUAAUUAGGAGCUUGUAUGAAUGGCUGAAUGAGAGAUUAACUUUCUUUAUUUUAUUUUACAUAAUUUUAUUUUUUAGUUAAAAAGCUAUGAUAUUUUUAUAAGACGAGAAGACCCUAUAGAACUUUAUAUUUAAUUUUAUUAUUAAUUUUUAGGAAAUUAUUUUAUUAUAUUAUUAUUUAUUUUGUUGGGGUGACAGGUAAAUUUAUUUAACUUUACUUAUUUAUAUUUCAUAAAUUUAUGAUUUAUUGAUCCUAAUAUUAUGAUUAAAAGUUUAAGUUACCUUAGGGAUAACAGCGUUAUUUUAUUGGAGAGUUCUUAUUUAUAAUAAAGUUUGCGACCUCGAUGUUGGAUUAAAAUUAGUUUUAUGGUGUAGAAGCUUUUAUUCUAGGUCUGUUCGACCUUUAAAUUUUUACA
Molecule: ribosomal RNA, 509 nt
Filed under: Anthocoris sp. WCW-2003
Lineage: Eukaryota; Metazoa; Arthropoda; Insecta; Hemiptera; Anthocoridae
Description: partial 16S ribosomal RNA
Rfam family: Bacterial large subunit ribosomal RNA (bases 382-509)
Source: RNAcentral